Pteronotus mesoamericanus is the source of this 120-nucleotide small nuclear RNA. The record is from RefSeq and is a predicted model, not a curated record. NCBI's taxonomy places the organism in Eukaryota, Metazoa, Chordata, Mammalia, Chiroptera, Mormoopidae.
GUGUUAUAUGAAAGAAGUUUAGCCCUUCCCUUGACGAGGAUGGAAGAGGUGCUCUGGACUUAAAAAAGAAAAAAAGAAAAAAAAAAAAGAGGAACCAGUCUCUACCUUGACUUUCAUUGU